GGGGAGUCGAUAACCGGACUGUGAUCCCAGGGUGUCCGAAUGGGGAAACCCCGCCAGGGGCGCGAGCUGCCUGGUGACCCGCAUCUGAACACAUAGGGUGCGUGGAGGGAACGCGGGGAAGUGAAACAUCUCAGUACCCGCAGGAAGAGAAAACAAUAGUGAUUCCGUUAGUAGUGGCGAGCGAACGCGGAUCAGGCUAAACCGUUCCAUGUGUGAUAGCCGGCGGGCGUUGCAUGGUCGGGGUUGUGGGACUUUCCGUACCAGUUCUGCCGGACUGGUGAGGUGUGAUGUGCAGGCAUAGGUGAACGGUCUUGAAAGGCCGGCCGUAGAGGGUGUGAGCCCCGUAACCGAAAUGUUGUGUACCGCCUGGAGAGUAUCCCAAGUAGCACGGGGCCCGAGAAAUCCCGUGUGAAUCUGUCAGGACCACCUGAUAAGCCUAAAUACUCCCUAAUGACCGAUAGCGGACCAGUACCGUGAGGGAAAGGUGAAAAGUACCCCGGGAGGGGAGUGAAACAGUACCUGAAACCGUGUGCUUACAAUCCGUCGGAGCCAGUCUGAUUCUGGUGACGGCGUGCCUUUUGAAGAAUGAGCCUGCGAGUUAGUGUUACGUCGCGAGGUUAACCCGUGUGGGGAAGCCGUAGCGAAAGCGAGUCUGAACAGGGCGUUGCAGUGGCGUGAUCUAGACCCGAAGCGAAGUGAUCUACCCAUGGCCAGGUUGAAGCGACGGUAAGACGUCGUGGAGGACCGAACCCACUUCAGUUGAAAAUGGAGGGGAUGAGCUGUGGGUAGGGGUGAAAGGCCAAUCAAACUUCGUGAUAGCUGGUUCUCCCCGAAAUGCAUUUAGGUGCAGCGUUGCGUGUUUCUUACCGGAGGUAGAGCUACUGGAUGGCUAAUGGGCCCUACAAGGUUACUGACGUCAGCCAAACUCCGAAUGCCGGUAAGUGAGAGCGCAGCAGUGAGACUGUGGGGGAUAAGCUUCAUAGUCGAGAGGGAAACAGCCCAGACCACCAACUAAGGCCCCUAAGCGUGUGCUAAGUGGGAAAGGAUGUGGAGUUGCGAAGACAACCAGGAGGUUGGCUUAGAAGCAGCCAUCCUUAAAAGAGUGCGUAAUAGCUCACUGGUCAAGUGAUUCCGCGCCGACAAUGUAGCGGGGCUCAAGUACACCGCCGAAGUUGUGGCAUUCAGAUAUUAGCUAAGCCCUUGUGGUUCAGGCGUCUGGAUGGGUAGGGGAGCGUCGUGUGGGCGGUGAAGUCGCGGUGUAAACCAGCGGUGGAGCCUACACGAGUGAGAAUGCAGGCAUGAGUAGCGAAAGACGGGUGAGAAACCCGUCCGCCGAAUGAUCAAGGGUUCCAGGGUCAAGCUAAUCUGCCCUGGGUAAGUCGGGACCUAAGGCGAGGCCGACAGGCGUAGUCGAUGGACAACGGGUUGAUAUUCCCGUACCGGCGAAAAACCGCCCAUGUUGAACAGGGGAUACUAACCGCCCGAGACC
Molecule: ribosomal RNA, 1489 nt
Filed under: Arthrobacter sp. ok909
Lineage: Bacteria; Bacillati; Actinomycetota; Actinomycetes; Micrococcales; Micrococcaceae
Description: bacterial LSU rRNA
Rfam family: Bacterial large subunit ribosomal RNA
Source: RNAcentral